Heterocephalus glaber (naked mole-rat) is the source of this 1056-nucleotide long non-coding RNA. Lineage: Eukaryota; Metazoa; Chordata; Mammalia; Rodentia; Bathyergidae. The record is from Ensembl.
GCUCCUGUUUUCAUGGCGAGCAGUGCUCUCGGGCUGCCCUUCCCGCACCCCCGCUGGCCCGCUUGUCCCAGCCCCCUCUCUGUGGGUACUGGCUGGGGGUCUCCAGAGAAGCUUUAUCAUUUUCAAAGAGCCCAUCUGGAGGAAAACUGGACUUUUUUCUCUUUUCAGUGCUGCAGAUACAACUGUGCAAGCAUGGUACCCCUGAGAUAUCCACCCAGCACUGCCCUUCUUUAGGGGACAAGGAUUGCUGGGGACGGAACCCAGGCCCUCACACUGCCCCACACCCCCAGCUCUUUUUCAGUCUUUUAUUUUGAGACCAGGUCUUGCUAAGUCUCCCACUUGUCCAUGCUGGGCUGGACUUGCUGCCUGCCUGCCUCUGCCUCCCAAAGUGCUCAGUCACAGGUGUGCACUGUUGUGCCUGGCCCAGCCAUGCACUGUAAAUACAUAAGAACCGCUAUUUUCUCAUCAACUCCAGAUGUCAAGGAAGAAUAAACAGUGAAGAAAACAGCUGGACAAGAUAGCACUAGCCUGUAAUCGCAACACUCUUGAAGGCUUAGGUAGGAUUGAAAGUCUGAGUCCCACCUGGGCAGCUUGGUGACUUAAUAAGACCCUGCCUUAAAAUAAAAAAUAAAAUGGCCUGGGGUAGCUCAAUGUGAAGCCCUGUGUUCAAUCCCAAGUGCCACAAAAACUAAAAUGAAGGGACCGGAGAUUUAGCUCAGUGGUUCCAGUGCCUGCCUCGCAAGCACAAGGUCCAGAGUUCGAUCCCCGGUACCAAAAAAAACUAAAAUGAAGAAAGAAAAAUAUAAGAACAAACCACAUCCACCAAAUGUCUGUCCUAUUCUUCGGCAUCUGCUGUGCCUACGUUCCAGUGUAGACCGCAAGGAAGGCAGGAGUUGCUCCUUCCGGUUUGGCAGCUGUGGUCGGUACAAAUUCUCCAUCCACCAUCAGCAUGCACGAGAGCUAAGCAAUGCCAGCCACAGCGCUGCGAGGGAGACUCAUGAAGGAUGCCCCCAGACCUCUGCGGAGGCGAUCACGAGGGAAAACACUUCAGCAGGC